Non-coding RNA from Schistosoma curassoni, 45 nucleotides. The record is from Rfam. NCBI's taxonomy places the organism in Eukaryota, Metazoa, Platyhelminthes, Trematoda, Strigeidida, Schistosomatidae.
AUCCAGCUGACGAGUCUCAAAUAGGACGAAACGAGCUUCCUGGGU